UUAAGCGACUAAGCGUACACGGUGGAUGCCCUGGCAGUCAGAGGCGAUGAAGGACGUGCUAAUCUGCGAUAAGCGCCGGUAAGGUGAUAUGAACCGUUAUAACCGGCGAUUUCCGAAUGGGGAAACCCAGUGUGAUUCGUCACACUAUCAUUAACUGAAUCCAUAGGUUAAUGAGGCGAACCGGGGGAACUGAAACAUCUAAGUACCCCGAGGAAAAGAAAUCAACCGAGAUUCCCCCAGUAGCGGCGAGCGAACGGGGAGGAGCCCAGAGCCUGAAUCAGCAUGUGUGUUAGUGGAAGCGUCUGGAAAGGCGCGCGAUACAGGGUGACAGCCCCGUACACAAAAGCGCAUGUGCUGUGAGCUCGAUGAGUAGGGCGGGACACGUGGUAUCCUGUCUGAAUAUGGGGGGACCAUCCUCCAAGGCUAAAUACUCCUGACUGACCGAUAGUGAACCAGUACCGUGAGGGAAAGGCGAAAAGAACCCCGGCGAGGGGAGUGAAAAAGAACCUGAAACCGUGUACGUACAAGCAGUGGGAGCACAGGUUUACCUGUGUGACUGCGUACCUUUUGUAUAAUGGGUCAGCGACUUAUAUUCUGUAGCAAGGUUAACCGUAUAGGGGAGCCGUAGGGAAACCGAGUCUUAACCGGGCGUUAAGUUGCAGGGUAUAGACCCGAAACCCGGUGAUCUAGCCAUGGGCAGGUUGAAGGUUGGGUAACACUAACUGGAGGACCGAACCGACUAAUGUUGAAAAAUUAGCGGAUGACCUGUGGCUGGGGGUGAAAGGCCAAUCAAACCGGGAGAUAGCUGGUUCUCCCCGAAAGCUAUUUAGGUAGCGCCUCGUGAAUUCAUCUCCGGGGGUAGAGCACUGUUUCGGCUAGGGGGCCAUCCCGGCUUACCAACCCGAUGCAAACUGCGAAUACCGGAGAAUGUUAUCACGGGAGACACACGGCGGGUGCUAACGUCCGUCGUGAAGAGGGAAACAACCCAGACCGCCAGCUAAGGUCCCAAAGUCAUGGUUAAGUGGGAAACGAUGUGGGAAGGCCCAGACAGCCAGGAUGUUGGCUUAGAAGCAGCCAUCAUUUAAAGAAAGCGUAAUAGCUCACUGGUCGAGUCGGCCUGCGCGGAAGAUGUAACGGGGCUAAACCAUGCACCGAAGCUGCGGCAGCGAACGUAUCACCCAAGACAACUUUACGGAGUUGACGAUUGACGGAGCGAAGCGACGUCAAAGCGUUCAUUAAAGUCGAGUUGGCUUAGGGAUACGUUCGUUGGGUAGGGGAGCGUUCUGUAAGCCUGUGAAGGUGUGUCGUGAGGCAUGCUGGAGGUAUCAGAAGUGCGAAUGCUGACAUAAGUAACGAUAAAGCGGGUGAAAAGCCCGCUCGCCGGAAGACCAAGGGUUCCUGUCCAACGUUAAUCGGGGCAGGGUGAGUCGACCCCUAAGGCGAGGCCGAAAGGCGUAGUCGAUGGGAAACGGGUUAAUAUUCCCGUACUUGGUGUUACUGCGAAGGGGGGACGGAGAAGGCUAUGUUGGCCGGGCGACGGUUGUCCCGGUUUAAGCGUGUAGGUGUGUGUUCCAGGUAAAUCCGGUUCACUUUAACACUGAGGCGUGACGACGAGGCACUACGGUGCUGAAGCAACAAAUGCCCUGCUUCCAGGAAAAGCCUCUAAGCAUCAGGUAACAUCAAAUCGUACCCCAAACCGACACAGGUGGUCAGGUAGAGAAUACCAAGGCGCUUGAGAGAACUCGGGUGAAGGAACUAGGCAAAAUGGUGCCGUAACUUCGGGAGAAGGCACGCUGACACGUAGGUGAAGUGAUUUACUCAUGGAGCUGAAGUCAGUCGAAGAUACCAGCUGGCUGCAACUGUUUAUUAAAAACACAGCACUGUGCAAACACGAAAGUGGACGUAUACGGUGUGACGCCUGCCCGGUGCCGGAAGGUUAAUUGAUGGGGUCAGCGCAAGCGAAGCUCCUGAUCGAAGCCCCGGUAAACGGCGGCCGUAACUAUAACGGUCCUAAGGUAGCGAAAUUCCUUGUCGGGUAAGUUCCGACCUGCACGAAUGGCGUAAUGAUGGCCAGGCUGUCUCCACCCGAGACUCAGUGAAAUUGAACUCGCUGUGAAGAUGCAGUGUACCCGCGGCAAGACGGAAAGACCCCGUGAACCUUUACUAUAGCUUGACACUGAACAUUGAGCCUUGAUGUGUAGGAUAGGUGGGAGGCUUUGAAGUGUGGACGCCAGUCUGCAUGGAGCCGACCUUGAAAUACCACCCUUUAAUGUUUGAUGUUCUAACGUGGACCCGUAAUCCGGGUUGCGGACAGUGUCUGGUGGGUAGUUUGACUGGGGCGGUCUCCUCCUAAAGAGUAACGGAGGAGCACGAAGGUUGGCUAAUCCUGGUCGGACAUCAGGAGGUUAGUGCAAUGGCAUAAGCCAGCUUGACUGCGAGCGUGACGGCGCGAGCAGGUGCGAAAGCAGGUCAUAGUGAUCCGGUGGUUCUGAAUGGAAGGGCCAUCGCUCAACGGAUAAAAGGUACUCCGGGGAUAACAGGCUGAUACCGCCCAAGAGUUCAUAUCGACGGCGGUGUUUGGCACCUCGAUGUCGGCUCAUCACAUCCUGGGGCUGAAGUAGGUCCCAAGGGUAUGGCUGUUCGCCAUUUAAAGUGGUACGCGAGCUGGGUUUAGAACGUCGUGAGACAGUUCGGUCCCUAUCUGCCGUGGGCGCUGGAGAACUGAGGGGGGCUGCUCCUAGUACGAGAGGACCGGAGUGGACGCAUCACUGGUGUUCGGGUUGUCAUGCCAAUGGCACUGCCCGGUAGCUAAAUGCGGAAGAGAUAAGUGCUGAAAGCAUCUAAGCACGAAACUUGCCCCGAGAUGAGUUCUCCCUGAGACUUAGAGUCUCCUGAAGGAACGUUGAAGACGACGACGUUGAUAGGCCGGGUGUGUAAGCGCAGCGAUGCGUUGAGCUAACCGGUACUAAUGAACCGUGAGGCUUAACCUU
This 2990-nucleotide ribosomal RNA is filed under the name Salmonella enterica subsp. enterica serovar Typhimurium var. 5-. RNAcentral describes it as "bacterial LSU rRNA". It matches the Rfam family "Bacterial large subunit ribosomal RNA". Lineage: Bacteria; Pseudomonadati; Pseudomonadota; Gammaproteobacteria; Enterobacterales; Enterobacteriaceae. The record is from RNAcentral.